Molecule: long non-coding RNA, 1345 nt
Organism: Eurytemora carolleeae
Lineage: Eukaryota; Metazoa; Arthropoda; Copepoda; Calanoida; Temoridae
Exons: 2
Source: RefSeq, a predicted model, not a curated record
UUUUAAUCAUGUUUUUUUCAGAACACCAUGUAGAAGAUUAGACAAGCCGCAGACUAACAUCCGUCUGCCUUUGGGCAAAAUGCGUAAAUUAACGCAAACCAACUGCGUUUAAAUUGCGCAAAACAUCAGCGCUAAAAAUACGCAAACCAUCAGUGCUAAAAAUACGCAAACCAUCAGCGCUCAAAAUGCACAAACCAUCAGCAUUGAAAAUGCGCAAACAACAAGCGCUCAAAAUGCGCAAACCAUCAGCGCUCAAAAUGCGCAAGCCAUCAGCAUUGAAAAUGCGCAAACAACAAGCGCUAACAUUUUGCACAAACAAACUGAACAUUUCAGCAGAAAACCAUCACACAGCUAUUUUCCAGCACAAUUAAUUUUCAUUUUCAGGAAACAGGAAGACCUAUCUUGUUCCUCUACCCAACAAUUGCAUUUAAGAAUGAAAUGUGAAUACAUGAAAAGAUUAUAAAGAGAGAAAAUGGUUUUGAAUGAUGUAUGUUGUAUGACUGAUUAAUGAAUAGUGUACAAUGCUUUUAUGCAUUCUCCGCUCUCGAACAUUCCAAUGUUAUGAUUUGUUCUUUGAUAUUUUUUUAAUAAUUUUUCUGCAAUUUUUUUUCUUGUAAAAAGUAUUAAUUAUUUUUGCUUAUUUCUUAUUUUUAUAAACAUCAAACACUUCUAUAUUUACUUAUAUAAAUAAUAUACAUGUAUAUAUUUAUAUUUAUGUGUAUAUAUAUUGUAAUAUUUUGUAAUUUUAUUAUUUCAGUAUUUUUAAAACACUUGUUUAAAAUGACUGUCUCCGACUCACCAACAUUCCAUUUGAAAAUUAGUUCUGUGAUAUUUGUUCCAUUUUUUUUAAUUUUACGUUUUUUGCCUUUUUUUCGAAUACAUUUUUUUGGUAUCAAUUGAAACACAUUUUUUAGACUUAGUUUUAAGUCCAAGAUUAUUUCAGUUUGCAUUUCAUCAAUUUUUCUACGCAAUCUAAAAUUCUAAUUUAAAAUUUUGUUAUUAUUUACAAACUUACAGUUGCUCCUUUUUGUUUGUUAGAAUUGUAAAAUAUGUUUUUCGUAAAAUGUUUUCCUAGUUUGUAAGGGAGGCCUCAGGGUACUUUUUAAGAAACUUAUACCAACAAAGGUUGUUUUAUUUUCUCACAAACUUUUCGUAAAUUUUUUAUUGUUAAAUAUUAAAAUAAUGUUUUCUUAAAUUGUACCAGAGUGCCACAAAAAAGUCCAACCAACUCCGUCCAUUUGAACUGAUCGCAUAAAAUAAUUUAUCGACAGUUCUUUAGAUUUAAGGGAAUUAUAAAAUUGUAAUCAGAAAAAAAAUUUAACAAAUAAAUCUUCUUUUCAAUCUA